UACGUAGGGUGCAAGCGUUGUCCGGAAUUAUUGGGCGUAAAGAGCUCGUAGGCGGUCUGUCGCGUCGGCUGUGAAAACCCGGGGCUCAACCCCGGGCCUGCAGUCGAUACGGGCAGACUAGAGUGCGGUAGGGGAGACUGGGAUUCCUGGUGUAGCGGUGAAAUGCGCAGAUAUCAGGAGGAACACCGGUGGCGAAGGCGGGUCUCUGGGCCGAUACUGACGCUGAGGAGCGAAAGCGUGGGGAGCGAACAGG
Molecule: ribosomal RNA, 253 nt
Filed under: uncultured bacterium
Lineage: Bacteria
Description: partial 16S ribosomal RNA
Rfam family: Bacterial small subunit ribosomal RNA
Source: RNAcentral